GACGAACGCUGGCGGCGUGCCUAAUACAUGCAAGUAGAACGCUGAAGGAGGAGCUUGCUCUUCUGGAUGAGUUGCGAACGGGUGAGUAACGCGUAGGUAACCUGCCUGGUAGCGGGGGAUAACUAUUGGAAACGAUAGCUAAUACCGCAUAAUAUUGAUUAUUGCAUGAUAGUCAAUUAAAAGGUGCAAUUGCAUCACUACCAGAUGGACCUGCGUUGUAUUAGCUAGUUGGUGAGGUAACGGCUCACCAAGGCAACGAUACAUAGCCGACCUGAGAGGGUGAUCGGCCACACUGGGACUGAGACACGGCCCAGACUCCUACGGGAGGCAGCAGUAGGGAAUCUUCGGCAAUGGACGGAAGUCUGACCGAGCAACGCCGCGUGAGUGAAGAAGGUUUUCGGAUCGUAAAGCUCUGUUGUAAGAGAAGAACGAGUGUGAGAGUGGAAAGUUCACACUGUGACGGUAUCUUACCAGAAAGGGACGGCUAACUACGUGCCAGCAGCCGCGGUAAUACGUAGGUCCCGAGCGUUGUCCGGAUUUAUUGGGCGUAAAGCGAGCGCAGGCGGUUAGAUAAGUCUGAAGUUAAAGGCUGUGGCUUAACCAUAGUACGCUUUGGAAACUGUUUAACUUGAGUGCAAGAGGGGAGAGUGGAAUUCCAUGUGUAGCGGUGAUAUGCGUAGAUAUAUGGAGGAACACCGGUGGCGAAAGCGGCUCUCUGGCUUGUAACUGACGCUGAGGUCGAAAGCGUGGGGAGCAAACAUG
RNAcentral lists this ribosomal RNA (762 nucleotides) under uncultured Streptococcus sp. RNAcentral's name for it is "bacterial SSU rRNA". It matches the Rfam family "Bacterial small subunit ribosomal RNA", at positions 28 to 776 of the family's 1533-position model. The record is from RNAcentral. Lineage: Bacteria; Bacillati; Bacillota; Bacilli; Lactobacillales; Streptococcaceae.